GAAAUGCGAUAAGUAGUGUGAAUUGCAGAAUUUAGCGAAUCAUCGAAUCUUUGAACGCACAUUGCGCCCCUUGGUAUUCCAUGGGGCAUGCCUGUUCGAGCGUCAUUUCAACCCUCAAGCACUGCUUGGUGUUGGGCGUUUGUCCCGCCUACGCGCGUGGACUCGCCUCAAAGUCAUUGGCGGCUGUUCCCCCUCGGCUCGUAAGCGCAGCACAGUCGGCGCCCGGAGCUCUGGUGGGAUGGCGUCCAGCAAGCUAUAUUUUCAGGCUUGACCUCGGAUCAGGUAGGGAUACCCGCUGAACUUAAGC
Molecule: unclassified non-coding RNA, 307 nt
Filed under: plant metagenome
Description: partial contains 5.8S ribosomal RNA, internal transcribed spacer 2, and large subunit ribosomal RNA
Rfam family: 5.8S ribosomal RNA (bases 1-105)
Source: RNAcentral